GAUGAACGCUGGCGGCGUGCCUCAAACAUGCAAGUCGAGCGAGGCUAUGAAUUACCGCAAGGUAAGGCAUAGCCUAGCGGCGAACGGGUGAGUAACACGUGGGGUAACCUACCUGGAAGACAGGGAUAACGAUUCGAAAGGGUCGCUAAUACCUGAUAAUAUCCAUCUGCCGGAUGGCGGAGGGAAGAAAGGGGAAACCCGCUUUCAGAUGGGCCCGCGUCCCAUCAGCUAGUUGGUAAGGUAAAGGCUUACCAAGGCGACGACGGGUAGCCGGUCUGAGAGGAUGUACGGCCACACUGGGACUGAGAUACGGCCCAGACUCCUACGGGAGGCAGCAGUUGGGAAUCUUAGGCAAUGGACGAAAGUCUGACCUAGCGACGCCGCGUGAGGGAAGAAGGCCUUCGGGUUGUAAACCUCUGUCAUGGGGGAAGAAGGAAGUGACGGUACCCCAAGAGGAAGCCCCUGCUAACUACGUG
RNAcentral lists this ribosomal RNA (476 nucleotides) under uncultured bacterium. RNAcentral's name for it is "bacterial SSU rRNA". It matches the Rfam family "Bacterial small subunit ribosomal RNA", at positions 28 to 507 of the family's 1533-position model. The record is from RNAcentral.